GUCUAUUGUGAGUUACACAAUGCAGCAUUUAGCUCGCUCGUAAACAUCGCUUAUGUCCUCAGGUCACUGUCUGAGCAGAAGUUUCAUCAUUAGCCCUGACUGUCAGAUGCUCUUCAUCUCAGGAGCUGUAUUUUUAAAUGCUUGAUAACAGAUAUAAGCGAGAAGAGGCUGAAUCCGAAGCCUGAGAAGAAGCAGAGAAACAGAGGAUCGAACGAGAGAAACACUUCCAGAAAGAGGAGCUGGAACACUAGGAAAGAAAGAAGCGUCUGCAAGAAAUCAUGAAGAGGACUUGUAAGAGUGACGCAGGAGCACAGUAAUAUAGAAAAAUCCAUCAGAAGCUCUUCAUAGUG
RNAcentral lists this long non-coding RNA (350 nucleotides) under Danio rerio (zebrafish). RNAcentral's name for it is "si:dkeyp-13a3.8 (ENSDARG00000094962.2)". The record is from RNAcentral. Lineage: Eukaryota; Metazoa; Chordata; Actinopteri; Cypriniformes; Danionidae.